RNAcentral lists this ribosomal RNA (460 nucleotides) under uncultured bacterium. RNAcentral's name for it is "partial 16S ribosomal RNA". It matches the Rfam family "Bacterial small subunit ribosomal RNA", at positions 338 to 795 of the family's 1533-position model. The record is from RNAcentral.
CCUACGGGCGGCAGCAGUGAGGAAUAUUGGUCAAUGGCCGUAACGCUGAACCAGCCAAGUCGCGUGAAGGAAGAAGGAUCUAUGAUUUGUAAACUUCUUUUAUAGGGGAAUAAAGGUAUCCACGUGUGGAUGUUUGCAUGUACUCUAUGAAUAAGCAUCGGCUAACUCCGUGCCAGCAGCCGCGGUAUUACGGAGGAUGCGAGCGUUAUCCGGAUUUAUUGGGUUUAAAGGGUGCGUAGGUUGUUUGUUAAGUCAGCGGUGAAAGUUUGGGGCUUAACCAUAAAAUUGCCGUUGAAACUGGAAGUGUUGAGUGUGUUUGAGGUAGGCGGAAUGCGGGGUGUAGCGGUGAAAUGCAUAGAUAUCACGCAGAACACCGAUUGCGAAGGCAGCUUACUAGGCCAUAACUGACACUGAGGCACGAAAGCGUGGGGAUCAAACAGGAUUAGAUACCCGAGUAGUC